RNAcentral lists this ribosomal RNA (508 nucleotides) under uncultured bacterium. Its description in RNAcentral is "partial 16S ribosomal RNA". It matches the Rfam family "Bacterial small subunit ribosomal RNA", at positions 28 to 523 of the family's 1533-position model. The record is from RNAcentral.
GAUGAACGCUAGCUACAGGCUUAACACAUGCAAGUCGAAGGGAAACGAUAUUGGAAGCUUGCUUCCGAUAGGCGUCGACCGGCGCACGGGUGAGUAACGCGUAUCCAACCUGCCCACCACUUGGGGAUAACCUUGCGAAAGUAAGACUAAUACCCAAUGAUAUCUCAAGAAGACAUCUGAAUGAGAUUAAAGAUUUAUCGGUGAUGGAUGGGGAUGCGUCUGAUUAGCUUGUUGGCGGGGUAACGGCCCACCAAGGCGACGAUCAGUAGGGGUUCUGGGAGGAAGGUCCCCCACAUUGGAACUGAGACACGGUCCAAACUCCUACGGGAGGCAGCAGUGAGGAAUAUUGGUCAAUGGGCGAGAGCCUGAACCAGCCAAGUAGCGUGCAGGAUGACGGCCCUAUGGGUUGUAAACUGCUUUUAUAAGGGAAUAAAGUGAGCCUCGUGAGGCUUUUUGCAUGUACCUUAUGAAUAAGGACCGGCUAAUUCCGUGCCAGCCGCCGCAGUAA